GACGAACGCUGGCGGCGUGCUUAACACAUGCAAGUCGAACGGAAAGGCCCUGCUUGCAGGGUACUCGAGUGGCGAACGGGUGAGUAACACGUGGGUGAUCUGCCCUGCACUUCGGGAUAAGCCUGGGAAACUGGGUCUAAUAUCGGAUAGGAGCCAUUCUUAGUGUGAUGGUUGGAAAGUUUUUUCGGUGUAGGAUGAGCUCGCGGCCUAUCAGCUUGUUGGUGGGGUAAUGGCCUACCAAGGCGGCGACGGGUAGCCGGCCUGAGAGGGUGGACGGCCACAUUGGGACUGAGAUACGGCCCAGACUCCUACGGGAGGCAGCAGUGGGGAAUAUUGCACAAUGGGCGCAAGCCUGAUGCAGCGACGCCGCGUGGGGGAUGACGGCCUUCGGGUUGUAAACUCCUUUCGCUAGGGACGAAGCUUUUUGUGACGGUACCUAGAUAAGAAGCACCGGCUAACUACGUG
Molecule: ribosomal RNA, 465 nt
Filed under: uncultured bacterium
Lineage: Bacteria
Description: partial 16S ribosomal RNA
Rfam family: Bacterial small subunit ribosomal RNA
Source: RNAcentral